UUCAGUCAAAUAUAAUAACUCUCCAUUUAAUUAUACAGUCACGAUGAAUUGUUAAUCGAGAAUUCGUUAGUAUUUAUACGCCUCUUCCGAUGGUCAUAUAAACAUAUCCUUUCUAAAUGCACCACAAUGGGAAUAAAAUCGAAAAGGAACAUCCUAGCUAAAUAACUCACUAUAUUCCUAUGCGAAUUAAAUUAAUAUAAAUUUUAAGCAUAGAUUCUCCAAUUGGUUACACAUGGCAUAUAGGUAUAUCCCUAUCCUAUACACGAAUCAUGGAUUUCAUCACAUGCAGAAAAAACCAACAUAUGUUAUCGUAUUUAGAUCUAAGUUUAUAAUCCAUCUCCCAAUGUAAAUAUAGAUUGUCCCAUUAAUUACUAGCUAGUUAAUUAAAACAUGAACGCACAAAAUAUGAUAAACUAAUUCAUAUGGUGCCAAUCAAAUAAAAAGAAAACCAAUUUAAACUAUAUAUGAGAUUCCAUUAAAAACUUAAAUUAAAAACAUGUUCAUAGCAGAUAAAAUUAAAAUCCACAAAAUAUUUUGCAUCAAUGAAAGACAAAAAUAAAUAAUGGUUUAGAGAAGAAAAAUUGUCACCCGCAAAUCUUCUAUCUCCAAGCUUCAUCAAUCCAUGACUUCCAUCUUUGAUGAUAUCUUGCUUGUCCUUGAACUUGGAAGAGAAUUAGCCUCACAUUUUGUUCAUUGGCUUUUUCCCAACAACUUUUACAAUCCCAAAAUAAGACUAUUUAUAGAAGUUUAUUUUCCCUAACCCUAAUAGAAUUGCAAUCCUAAUUAAAUUUACAUACAUAAUAUCCUAAUUUUAAUAAAAUACUAUAAUACAAUUCUUUUUCCAAAUCUACAAUUAAUUCCCAUGCAAAAAUUAGGCUUUACAACAUCCAAAUCCUAGUAAAAAUUAUAAAUUCUUGACCCAACUGGAAAGAGUUUUCGUCCACUUUCUGCCUUUCAAUGCCCCAUCAUUCAAAUCUUUCACAAAAUGAAUGCCCAGUAUUCAACUUCCACUUAUUUAUGAAAUUGUCACUGCUUUCCCAAAAUUGUCAGAUUUAUCCUUUCUUUGCCUAUUCUACAAAAUAACAUAAAAAGUAAAUAAAAUGCACUAAAAUUAUUCAAAACAAGCAUAAAACUAAGUCCAAAAGCAUCUGAUUCAUUGAUAUAUUUUCCACUCAUAAAUCGGCAUUCAGAUUUAAGAGUAAAUUGUCUUCUAAGGCAAGUCUCUUUUAAAUGGUGGCCUAAAUUUGAUAAAAACAGGAUAGGUAAAGAUGUUGAGUAACCUACACCGCCACAAAGUUAUGAUAUUGAAUGAAUAUGAAGCUUCUCAGAAAAAUCUAAAAUCUGCCCUCAAGGGAAUUCCGAGAAAUGAGAUUUUAGACUUUCUAAAAACUCAUAGUGGCAGGAUAUAUAGCGAUGAUGACGAAGAAUCUUCCAACAAUCUUUUUGGUGGUACCUGCUCUCAGCCUAAAUAAAUCAAGUGUACUUGUUUUUUGCCUAAAUAAUUCAGGCUUGCUUAGUGGAGCAAGUGGUGCUGGGAAUCCGAAGCUUAAAGUCAAAAGGUGAUGGUCCCAAUCUUUGUCUUUUUCCUACUGUCUGAACGACUCCAGUCUAUACAGGACACUCGUCACAGCUUUACUUUAGCUUUAUUAAAGUUUGAUUCUGCUUUUUCAAGUGGUGCAUUAUUGUAUUUUUUUUGUAAAAGUUGUGUCUUAUUAUCAUAUUGUCUGUCCAAAGACCUUUAUAAGGACCUUAUUCUCCAGUGUUCAGAGUAUCCGAUUUUACUUUUAGUAUUGUAAGUUUUCUGAAUGUUUGUAAGAUAUUCUUUUCUUCGAGUGUUUUCAAGUUUGAAGUUCUCAAGUUUCAAACCAAUGUAAGUUUGCCCUAUUAAAUAUCAUUCUACUUAUCCCUUCCUCUGAUUAUUGUUUGUUUUAAAUUUUCUAUAGUUUUUUGGCCUAUUUGGUAUCAUAAUAAAUGUGUAAAGGCUUUGAUUUUGCUCGCUAUUUCUCUAUGAUCUUAUAGAAAAGAUGGUUUAUUACCAUUAUAAUAAAAUUUAAUUGUACUUUAAUCUCUAUUAUUAAUGUCAAUAAGUGAAUUUUGUAGUUUAGAAAUCUAGAAUGUUUGGUAAAAGCAAUGAAAUACUACUAAAAGGUUAAUGAAUUCUUCAAGGAUUUCAUCAUGUUCAAGGCAAUCCUUGGGGUUUCCAAUAUUGUUCUCAAUAUUGGAAAUACUAAUACUUCCUCCGUCCGUUCUAUAUUGUUAUCAUUUUUUUACUUUUUAAAAUCAACUUUAAGAGAUUUUUAAAUUUAAAAUAUACAUAAAUUCUUUAAAUUUUAAUCAAUACAAUAAUAAAUACUAUAAACUAUUUAAAAAAACAUUACUUAUUAUAAAUUUUAUUAUUUUAAAAUUUUUAAUGAGUCAUCUUAAUUUUAAAAUUAAAAAUAUCUCAAACUGAUUUUCAAAACUCAAUAAUCAUUAAUAGAACCAUCUAUUAUUGCUUAUACAUAAAAAUAGAAUGAUUUUAUCCAUCUAUAAACCAUGCUACAAAUUUAACAUUUGUUUGAAUAGAUUUUACGCCAAUAUAUAGAUGUUGUCGCUAGCCCUAAAAUAUGGAUUCCAUAGUAGACUUUGCGCAUGAAAUUGUUCCCCACAACCGCAAAUCAAAUCACUUGAGCUGUUCCGGUAAAUGGUCAGGGGAGUUUUUGACAUCAAAUGCGGGAGAUGCUUUUAUCAACACUGAUAAGAAGUUGGCCAACAAAGUCCUAGACUGUCUUAAAGAUGAUGAAAUUAAAAGAGCCAUAAAUUCAGGGAAUAAGUCUCCGAGCUUGAUACAUAACUUCAUCAUUAAUAAAAGGACGUAGAGACCACAUCAGGCAAUAGCUCUCCAGUUCUUCGGACGAUGAUUUGAGAUUAAGAGACGAAACAAUCUUUUCCUAUCACAAAGAAAUGGCCCGAUCAAGCAGGUAUCUUAAGAUGCAAAUAUAUAUUUUCUCCAUUUUAAAAAAGUUGGGCAAAAGAUGGAGAUGUCGAUUCUUUUCUAAAAUUGGAAUACCAAAGAAUGGGAAAGUUUAUUACCUGCAUCAAGUAAUCUUGCUUCACUAAAAUUGGAAUACCAAAGAAUGGGAAAGUUUAUUACCUGCAUCAAGUAAUCUUGCUUCACCAUACUGUAUAUAAUGGCCACCGUGGCUGCAUAAUCAGUAAUUUCAGGUUUCUGAAAAUCUGAAGACACCGUUAUUUCCUAAAGAAUACAUAAGCAGUCUGAAGUUAUAUUGCAAUCUUAAAUACAUAUUUCAAAUUAUCCUGUUGAUUAUGCAAAACUCUGUUCAAAAGGAGAGAUCACGUUACGUUUAGACUAUGUUCAAAAGGAGAUCACAUCACAUUAGUUGUACAUUAUAGUUGUAACAUUUGCAAAACAAACAACUUUCGCCACAGUUUAGGCAGGAAUUUUAAAGAAACAAAGAACCAAGCAAAUUUUGAGAAUUCAAAAGUUAAAUGUUCAUAAAUGUACAAAUCCUCGAGUGUGUGUGAGAGUGAGCGUCAGUGUGUGCGUGCGUGAGUGUGAGACAAAGACAAAGGCAGAGACACAGAAUGAAAAACAGCUUAUAUAAAUGAUGACACAUUUAUAAUAUUUAGUUUAAUUCAAUAUAAUUCUUAAAUUUAUGUUUAUUUUCUUAAGUUUUAAUAUUGAAUUAAAUUCUUGAAAUUUUAAAUUUUAUUAUUUAAUAGCAAUCUUGUUUAUGAAUAAAACUAAUACGUUAAAAAUAUGUUUGAACUUUGAACAAUUGCAUGUUUGUGUUUGAACUUUGACAUUAGCAAUAUGGAUGUUUUUGAACUUUAAACAAAAACCUUUAUUAUCUUUAUUAUAAAUUGUUUUGCUUUAUAUUAUUGUUUUGUUUAAAUAAAUGUAAGAUAAAAUAUUAAAAUUGGCUUACAAUAAAAAAUCCCGCCCAGGGCCCCUCGGCCGCCCGCCUCCCGCCUUUUAGAACAUUGCAUAACAUAGAUAGUAAAACCAGGAAACUACCUUGUCAUAGGUAGUUGCUACUACAUCCAACACAUGACUAGUAUCCUCAUGAAGCAAAUUUGCCAAAUUUUCACUAGAAGUUCUCAGCACGGCACUUGCAUCAUUGACAAGGCAUUCAAGUUCGUUGACUACAUCUUUUGCUGCAAUUACCAAAAUUAAGUUCAAACUUUAUUUUAUUUAUAUUUUGAAAAGAAACAUGAUAAUAUAUAAUACAGAAAGUUGCAAAAGAAAUUAAGUUUUCUCAGCGGGGUAAGAAAAGCAAAACUGCAUUAUAAUCCAAACAAAACAGAACAUUUCAUACCAUAAAGAAAACAUAUUAUAUACCAAAUAAGCCACACAACGCAUUCUAGCUCCAAAAACCAUAUUCUAGACUAACAAAUUAACCAUUUACAACACGUGGUAGCAUUAUGACCUAUUACUAACUGUUGGCACCUCAACCUUUUUAUUGGUGACCAUGGUCUACUUGAAUAUUCAACCAAAAAAAUAGCAUUCUUAAUUAGGACUUCACAAAACCAUACAAAGACCAAAAUGCCCAAAGUAUAAUAUUCAAAAAAUUAUGCACCUAUAUGAUUAUGAAUCAGCAAUGUUGGAGAAGAGAUUAUAAAGUUUGCUCAUGAAACGGGCAUGCAGCGUACAGUGCAUAAUCCAAACAUUAUAUGCUAGGUUGGAUUUGUAUGGCUGUUAAUUU
RNAcentral lists this long non-coding RNA (4706 nucleotides) under Panax ginseng (ginseng). Its description in RNAcentral is "long non-coding RNA (PGIN_LNC005443)". The record is from RNAcentral. Lineage: Eukaryota; Viridiplantae; Streptophyta; Magnoliopsida; Apiales; Araliaceae.